CAGUGAAGGCCAGCGUGAUUGACUUGACAACCAAUUCACUGAAGUCAAGUAGAGAAUUCACGAAUUAUACUAUGAAGUUUCCUAGAAAAGUUGAGGAACAUGGCUAGCUAGCCCUCCCAAGGGGGGGCUAUUAUUAAUGCUUCAACAAUUAUGGAGAUAUCCCAAGAGACAGCUGUGAACAUUGUAGAACAUAGUGCACCAGGAGAAUUGACACUGCGAAGGUAAGAACUCCCCGACCCAAGCACGAACUCUCACCACAGGGCCGAAGGCUCAUUCAGGCUCGGGCCAUUCUUCUCUUCUCAUCAGUCCCAACUCUUGCUCCUCCCAAUCUAGAGUCCCGACACUAGGAAUUUUCGAAACUACUUUGGAGGAACCUGCCGACAGUCUGAAUGCCUAGCUCAAGACUACCGAAGCUGCGAAAAUAAGGGACUUGGCUCUGUUGCCACAGACCCAGCUCCACUUCACCUCCUUGCCGAAGGUCUGAACACUCCAGCUCCACUUUGGUUUUUUCGUUGUUUUUCUGAAAAUGGUCCCAGCUACUAUUGCCGAACGGCAGGUGUUGAAAAACCUUAUUUAUUGCCCCCCCUAUUUCUAACCCUAGGCCCAGGAACCCAGCCCCUUGUUUUGGCCAAGACACAUACAUCUCGAGCCAAGCCUCAGGUCUUGUUGACUCCUUGCCGAACGGCAAGGAGCAUUCAAACAUAUGGAAGCUCACGCGCAAGCUUUGGGCACUCUAAAGUCCAGCUCACCACAGGUCUAGCUCCAAAAAAAAAAAGGGGGGAGAGCCAAACCCUGGCCACAUACCCGGGUCCUUGCCCAAAACAAGGACCUUG
This is a non-coding RNA of Prunus mume (Japanese apricot), 833 nucleotides long. The record is from RefSeq and is a predicted model, not a curated record. Lineage: Eukaryota; Viridiplantae; Streptophyta; Magnoliopsida; Rosales; Rosaceae.